GUAAAAGUAACAUGGUGAAUGGGCCGAAAAUUGUUUCUGUGAUGAUUUGUAAAUGUGUGGUAACAUAUUUUUUGCAUGGCAUCAAUGUUUGUUUGUUUGUGUAAUUCGGAAAAGUACAUAUUUUUAUGUCGGAAAUUGCGUUUGGUUUUUUGGUUAGGCAAACAUUUCGAAAACUACAAUUGAAGUUGUUUGUAUAUUUGAAUGUAGUCGUUUUUUUUUUUAA
Long non-coding RNA from Bactrocera neohumeralis, 223 nucleotides. RefSeq lists it as uncharacterized. Lineage: Eukaryota; Metazoa; Arthropoda; Insecta; Diptera; Tephritidae. The record is from RefSeq and is a predicted model, not a curated record. The transcript is spliced from 2 exons.